UACGUAGGGUGCAAGCGUUGUCCGGAAUUAUUGGGCGUAAAGAGCUCGUAGGCGGUUUGUUGCGUCGGCUGUGAAAUCCCGAGGCUCAACCUCGGGUCUGCAGUCGAUACGAGCAAACUAGAGUGUUGCAGGGGAGACUGGAAUUCCUGGUGUAGCGGUGAAAUGCGCAGAUAUCAGGAGGAACACCGGUGGCGAAGGCGGGGUCUCUGGGGCAAAC
This 217-nucleotide ribosomal RNA is filed under the name uncultured bacterium. Its description in RNAcentral is "partial 16S ribosomal RNA". It matches the Rfam family "Bacterial small subunit ribosomal RNA", at positions 524 to 740 of the family's 1533-position model. The record is from RNAcentral.